CAGUAAUCUUCGGCAGCAGAACACUUUUUCAAACAAACGUAAAGAAGCGAGCACCGCAUGUAUAUAUAUAUGUAUAUCGAUGUGUGUAGAGAGAUGAGGCCUAUGGCU
Molecule: non-coding RNA, 108 nt
Filed under: Heterosigma akashiwo
Lineage: Eukaryota; Raphidophyceae; Chattonellales; Chattonellaceae
Source: RNAcentral